This 714-nucleotide long non-coding RNA is filed under the name Malus domestica (apple). Its description in RNAcentral is "long non-coding RNA (MDOM_LNC014910)". The record is from RNAcentral. Lineage: Eukaryota; Viridiplantae; Streptophyta; Magnoliopsida; Rosales; Rosaceae.
UCGGCCGACGAGUUGGCACGCCCCGCAUACAACCGAAUGACGUAGUUAGCUUACUAAUUACUUGGCCUGCGCGCCACAUAGGUUUGGUAGUUUUUAAGGUCAACAAAUAGUAAGAACGAAACCAAUAAUACGAAAAAGAAACGGUUUUGAAAACUGACAUUAUGAAGUGAUAGAGGCUCGCAAAUUGUUGCAAUGUCCUUUAUAGACAAAAUUUCGCCUCUACUUAAGUGCUUGUAGUCCUUCUAGGCGUUGACCACCGAAUUACUCUAUCAAUCCAAGUUCCUAGUACUAGGAAGUUUAAUCUGGCGAACGUACAAGUACUUCUCUCAAGAAAAAUAUAGUAGAGUGAUAGAGAAAAGAUUGGGUGUUUCUUUGUUGUGUUUUUUACUUUGGGGAGGCAGCGAAUAUAGACUUGAAGACACCCUUUUUGAGCAGAUAUAAAACUGCCAAGAGCAGUUGUGUCGUUUGCAUGAAACCCUUCCAACGACUCAAACCUCUACACUAGGUUGAAUUUUGAUUUGAUCGUCUAGAUUACUAUUGUGGAACUUGUAAAAUAUCAUGUUAUGGAGAAUUAACUUUUGUAAUCUUUCAAUAAUCUUGGGUUCAUGAUAUAUUUUGAUCUCAAUGUCAGUUUUUCUUUAAAGAAACGGAUUACAUGUUUGAUGAAAUGCAUUGAGAGUUUGUGUGUUGAAACUUCUCCCGUUAAGGCAAAAU